Long non-coding RNA from Canis lupus familiaris (dog), 1641 nucleotides. RefSeq lists it as uncharacterized. The record is from RefSeq and is a predicted model, not a curated record. Lineage: Eukaryota; Metazoa; Chordata; Mammalia; Carnivora; Canidae. The transcript has 11 exons.
CUGAGGCUAAGUCAUAAGAAGCCUUGCUAUUCCUCCCUGGGUGUCCUGAAUUAUCACUCUGAGGGAAAUAAACUGCCAUGUAAAAAGUCCAAUUACCCUGAAAGUAUUAUACUGUAAGAAGCCUAAGCCACGUGGAAAACCUGGAAGAGAUACCAUAUGGAAAGAGUGGUCAAGGAGCACUGACACACAAGACAUUUGCAGUGUGAAAUGAUAGCAGAGAGAGGAAAAGAAAGUGCAGUCCAGUGGAAACGCACACACUCUCUGACUUGUAUCCGGAGCAAUAGCAUUUUGAAGCUGCAAAGGACCUGAAAAAACAGAUUUCACCUUCCUCAUUUUACAGUUGAGGAAGCAAGAUGCUCAACAAGAGUUAGCUGCUCAAGGACACAGAGCAAGUUUUUAUCAGAAAUAAAAUAAGAAUCCAGGCUACUAUUAUAUAUUGAAGAGAAAUGAUGCAUUUACCAAAAAUACGACUCAGAGACACAAAAUUCACUACCUCUACUAGAUCUUCCAUCUCAAGAAUAAGCCUGAUUACAUUGACCUGGUCCUUGAUAACUCCUCACUGAACUGAGAAAGCCCUCAACCAGGUAUCUGCCCAGUCUUCUUUCUCUUUUCAGUCCAGCUCUCUGAUCAAAAUCAAGUUCAGCAUCUGUGAAAUUGACCUCAAGUGUGAAAUCAUUUUUUAAUGAUAAAGUGCCAAAAGUGUUCUCAACAAUAGAUGGUGAGUGGUUGCUGCUCAGCUGGCAGGUGACGGUGUUUUGAAAGCUUUGGAAGCCUGUUUCCAGCUGAUUGGCUAUUUUCACCAUUGGCUGCUGACUUGCUCCUCCCAAUCUCAGAAACCCAGGUCAGUGUGCAUGUGAGAGAGGAAAAUCUUCCUUUAUCUGAGGAAGAGGCCAAGACCACCAGCAUCAGGAGUAGGCAACAUUGGAGCCACCAGGCAUGAAUUGAUGUAUGAACUGGACAAAGAUGUUUGCUGAGUGGGAGGAAUGUAGAAGAACAUAAUGGCUCUAAACUAUUAAGACUUCGGUACAUAUUAGAGGAAUCUCUUCUCUCCAAAAGCACCCACCUAUACAAGUUACUGAUGUAAAGCAAUGCAUCUUGCUCACCUGAAAGGACCCUCUGUGUCAUAUAAAGCAGCAAGUGCUAGAGGUCAAAUGAAUGUGCAAAUAGAGGCUUCAAGAGUUGAGAAAUCUUCGCUGUAAAAUUAAGAAUUCUGGAGAUCUUAAGGACCUGAAGGCUGUGUUUUACAUAGUGCAGUGCUAGCCAGCAGCAAGUCCCAGAAGGUGGGCACCAGUCACCUUUUCUCUGAGAUGUCUCUUCACCUUCUCUGGAGUUCCAAGACGACCUAACAUCAAAACAUCUGAUGAGGUUAGCCCUGUUCAGACUGAAGAAGACAUCAUUUUCAGCAGCACUAUUAAAGGUGCCAGAGCCAACCCUACAUGCUGAGGUGUGAAGGCUGCAUCAGAGAUGAUGGACAAGAAAAGACAGAGGGCAAGAGAGUGAAAAGAAUUUAGAAAGAGAAGUCCUUAAAGUGUGUCAGCUACUGGAGAUUGGAAGAACAUGCUGUUUGAAGAGCCAGAGGAACUUAACCAAGUCCUACUCAGACUGGCCUAAGAGAAAGUGUUAGAGGACUAAGAAUUUGUA